UAAGGUGGCGAUGGCGGCGGGGUUCCGCUCCUUCCCAUGCCGAACAGGGUUGCUAAGCCCGCCAGCGCCGAUGGUACUGCGAAAGCGGGAGAGUAGGUCGCCGCCUAAC
RNAcentral lists this ribosomal RNA (109 nucleotides) under Prevotellaceae bacterium. Lineage: Bacteria; Pseudomonadati; Bacteroidota; Bacteroidia; Bacteroidales; Prevotellaceae. The record is from RNAcentral.